GUGAAAAGGGUUUUAUGCUCUUUCAUACAGUGUGACAGUGUGUGUACAUAUAAUUUGGAAAAACAAAGUGAAGAUGGAUUUACAGCAGCGUUUCUCAGAUACAGCGGACUUAUAGCUACAAGCUGAUCACACAAGUGAACUUUGCUGCUGAUGAUGAUAUGGAUCAUGUUGUUAUAGCUUACGCCCACCACGGGUUGUCGCCGGUCCUGAAGUCGGUCUCCACCCACGGCACGAAGAGAACCUUGCCGUCGUCGACGUCGGCGUGCACCAAUGCCAGCGACAGGGGAGCAGGUCCACGGACGACCCUGCCCUGGUUGUUGUACUGCGAGCCGUGGCAGGGGCAGAUGAACUUGUUCUCGGCGGCGUUCCACGGCACGACGCACCCAAGGUGCGUGCACACGGCGUUGAUCCCGUACGUGGCCAGCGUCUUGUCGGCCUCCACGACGAGGUACGUCGGGUCACCCUUGAGCCCCUGGGUGAGGGUGCGGUCGUUGGGGCCGUGUGUCUUGAGCCACUCCUCGGCGAGCACGUCGUUGCCGAGCUUGUCCUUGGCGACCUGCCCGCCGCCGGCGUUCCCGGACCCGGCGGGGAUGAAGAAGGCGCCGUAGGGGACGAGCAUGCCGACGGUGGGGAGCGAGAUGGCGCCGAGCAGGAGGAGGUUCAUCAGCUGGCGCUUGCCCAUGUCCGGGACGCGGUCGGCCGGGAUGCUGCUCGCGGCCUGGCAUGUGAUGGUCGUCGCCGUCCUCGGCACGCGCUCCCGGCCGAAGCCCAGGCCCUUGACGGGCUUGCCCAGCGAGGCGCGAGACCUGCACAGCUGAGUAGGGUUGGAGGCGGUGGAGAGCGCGGUGGAGGCCAUGGCUGGAUUAGCUCGGUAGCUCGGUCGUUCGGCUGC
RNAcentral lists this unclassified non-coding RNA (892 nucleotides) under Hevea brasiliensis (rubber tree). The record is from RNAcentral. Lineage: Eukaryota; Viridiplantae; Streptophyta; Magnoliopsida; Malpighiales; Euphorbiaceae.